RNAcentral lists this transfer RNA (63 nucleotides) under Rhodnius pictipes. Its description in RNAcentral is "tRNA-Arg". Lineage: Eukaryota; Metazoa; Arthropoda; Insecta; Hemiptera; Reduviidae. The record is from RNAcentral.
AGUAAUGAAGUAAUAAAUACAUUUAGUUUCGACCUAAAACAAAGAGAAAACUUCUCCUUACUU